UGCGUAGGCGGAAUGAUAAGUUAGUGGUGAAAGCCCCCGGCUCAACCGGGGAACUGCCAUUAAUACUGUCAUUCUUGAGUAUAGUUGAAGUGGGCGGAAUGUAUCAUGUAGCGGUGAAAUGCUUAGAUAUGAUACAGAACACCGAUAGCGUAGGCAGCUUGCUAAACUAUAACUGACGCUCAGGCACGAUAGCGUGGGGAGCAAACAGGAUUAGAUACCCUGGUAGUCC
Molecule: ribosomal RNA, 229 nt
Filed under: uncultured bacterium
Lineage: Bacteria
Description: partial 16S ribosomal RNA
Rfam family: Bacterial small subunit ribosomal RNA
Source: RNAcentral